Non-coding RNA from Salmo salar (Atlantic salmon), 52 nucleotides. The record is from Rfam. Lineage: Eukaryota; Metazoa; Chordata; Actinopteri; Salmoniformes; Salmonidae.
AAUGCACCAAUUUGUAAGUCGCUCUGGAUAAGAGUCUGCUAAAUGACUUAAA